GCUAUUUAGGUUAGAGUUUGAUCAUGGCUCAGGACGAACGCUGGCGGCGUGCCUAACACAUGCAAGUCGAGCGGAAAGGCCUCCUUCGGGAGGUACUCGAGCGGCGAACGGGUGAGUAACACGUGAGCAACCUGCCUAGAUGUGGGGGAUAGCCGGCCCAACGGCCGGGUAAUACCGCAUAGGUUCCUUGGGGGGAGUCCUCUGGGGAGCAAACCUGUCGCAAGACGGGGCAUUUAGAGGGGCUCGCGGCCUAUCAGCUAGUUGGCGGUGUAACAGACCACCAAGGCGACGACGGGUAGCUGGUCUGAGAGGAUGGCCAGCCACACUGGGACUGAGACACGGCCCAGACUCCUACGGGAGGCAGCAGUGGGGAAUUUUGGACAAUGGGGGCAACCCUGAUCCAGCCAUGCCGCGUGUGUGAAGAAGGCCUUCGGGUUGUAAAGCACUUUCGGACGGAACGAAAUCGCGCGGGUGAAUAUCCCGCGUGGAUGACGGUACCGUAAGAAGAAGCACCGGCUAACUAUGUGCCAGCAGCCGCGGUAAUCGC
RNAcentral lists this ribosomal RNA (547 nucleotides) under uncultured bacterium. RNAcentral's name for it is "bacterial SSU rRNA". It matches the Rfam family "Bacterial small subunit ribosomal RNA", at positions 1 to 526 of the family's 1533-position model. The record is from RNAcentral.